Tympanuchus pallidicinctus (lesser prairie-chicken) is the source of this 676-nucleotide long non-coding RNA. RefSeq lists it as uncharacterized. NCBI's taxonomy places the organism in Eukaryota, Metazoa, Chordata, Aves, Galliformes, Phasianidae. The record is from RefSeq and is a predicted model, not a curated record. The transcript is spliced from 4 exons.
UAGAAGUCCUUGGAAAGGAAGAAACAGCGGGACAGACAGCUAAUUGGAUAAACUUCAACAUUUGAUCAGCAACUGAAACGGAUGGUUUUUUGUGAACUGUCAUGAUAUAUUUCUUAUUUCAGAGUGAUUCUUUUAGGGGUUCCUCAAAAUUUCUUUCUCUUUAGCUGCAGGGAUUUGGGAAAAAGAUGGACUUAGGUUGAGCACUGUUUCAUAAGUUUGGUUGGAAAGUCCUCAAGAGAUGUGUGGGUAGUACGAAAAUAGAGUUGGACUGUUCUCAGUGUUCCACCAGGAGGAAAUUGAAAGGUCAAGUAUUCCAUGCAUUUGAGCCCAUGAGUUAAGGAUGUGGGAUUCAGCGCUCGAGUGUCCAGACACAGAGAAGAUAGGAGGGAAAAGAUUUCUUCUCAGAUGUCUCUUAAGAGCACUGACUCCAGCUGCGACCAGAGCGUGGGAAGCUGGAAUAACUGAAAUGCUUCACAGACUCCAAUUCAAGUGUACAGCUUUGCAGCUUUUGUCCAAGAGCAGCAGAACGUAGAACUUUUUGUCCAAUGGAAAAAGUUCUUGAUUGAUUUCCACCUCACACCAGGGCUUCCUCACCUGCAGACCCAGGAUUCAUUAAGGAGGGAGCUCUCAGUCAGAGCGAGAGCAAAGAAACACGAAAGGCUGCUUUCUUCUAACA